Molecule: small RNA, 879 nt
Filed under: Pongo abelii (Sumatran orangutan)
Lineage: Eukaryota; Metazoa; Chordata; Mammalia; Primates; Hominidae
Description: processed transcript
Source: RNAcentral
UUUUCGGACUGCAGCGUGGCGGGGAAGAGAGACUGCGGCGGGGGGCCCCGGCCGGGGGACAGACGCGGGAAAGUGCGGAUCGCAGAGGCACUUGCCCACCCCGCCCUAGGCCGACCCGGCGGACGCGGCGUCUGGUGCGCGGGCGCUGGGGAGGAUUGAGGACGAGACGCAGGUGUCACGGGCCACUCAGGGUGAACAGGACAAUUACGAGAUGCAUGUGCGAGCCGCCAACAUCGUCCGAGCUGGUGAGUCCCUGAUGAAGCUGGUGUCCGACCUCAAGCAGUUCCUGAUCCUCAAUGACUUCCCCUCCGUGAACGAGGCCAUCGACCAGCGCAACCAGCAGCUGCGCGCACUGCAGGAGGAGUGCGACCGGAAGCUCAUCACGCUGCGAGACGAGAUCUCCAUUGACCUCUACGAGCUGGAGGAGGAGUAUUACUCGUCCAGGUAUAAAUAGUGCUGGACUCCCCAUGUAGAGCGGGAGCCUGCCUACCUGGGCCUGGCCAGCAGGCAAGGCUGCCUUCUGCUUUUUCAAAUUCUUGCUGGUCUUAGCAGUGGAGCCGUGCCUGGGUUUCAGAGCAGAGCUCCUGGCCAGAGCGUUUGACCAACAGACAAUUCACAACCAUAUGCCAGGGCCCUGGGCCUUUCCCACAGUGCAAUGUGAUGAAAACCACAGGACUCACGCCAGUCGGAUAGGCCAAGUCUGGAGAGGGGAGGCGCCUGGCUGUAUCCCCCGCAGGCCCUCUUCCGAGAGCCUUCCUCCUCGGGCAGUGCGUUCUGGAGCUGUGCUGCUCCUGUUAGCUUCUGAAUCCAUAUGUAGAGAUUUCAGCCCAGGCUGGGCCAGCCUCUCUUGGGCAGUCAGGUCCACACCUAUGUCCAGGG